UAGUCGAGGACGUUGUAGGUAAAGGAUUAGACCAUGCCAAUUUCGUUUUAGCAUUAAGGUUAUGAUAGUUUAGAAUUGUCCUCAGAGGGGAUGCUAAAUUCGUGUUCGUGCAUUUAAGGGAAGGCGUAAUUGGGUGAGGGCCAAAGAGCAGUUGUCGAGAUUGAUAGGCCAAGUACCGGAAUUUUCAGCGUCAAGGGGGCCGAUUUGGUAGAGAACAAUUUUCCCUUCAAGUUUCAGUCAAACGAUGAGUGUUUCAUAUAAUGCUUCAUUUAGUUGUAUGAAA
This 283-nucleotide long non-coding RNA is filed under the name Brassica napus (rape). RNAcentral's name for it is "long non-coding RNA (BNAP_LNC013927)". Lineage: Eukaryota; Viridiplantae; Streptophyta; Magnoliopsida; Brassicales; Brassicaceae. The record is from RNAcentral.